UACAGAGACUGCAAGCGUUAUUCGGAUUCACUGGGCGUAAAGGGUGCGCAGGUGGCUGGGUGUGUCAGAUGUGAAAUCCCGAGGCUUAACCUCGGAACUGCGUCUGAAACUACUCGGCUAGAGUACUGGAGAGGGUAACGGAAUUCACGGUGUAGCAGUGAAAUGCGUAGAUAUCGUGAGGAACACCAGAGGCGAAGGCGGUUACCUGGACAGUUACUGACACUCAGGCACGAAAGCAUGGGGAGCAAAAGGG
This 253-nucleotide ribosomal RNA is filed under the name uncultured bacterium. Its description in RNAcentral is "partial 16S ribosomal RNA". It matches the Rfam family "Bacterial small subunit ribosomal RNA", at positions 524 to 776 of the family's 1533-position model. The record is from RNAcentral.